GGUUACUGCUAUCGAGAUUCGACUAAGCCAUGCGAGUUGAAUGUUCUUCGUGAACAUGGCGGACUGCUCAGUAACACGUGGACAACCUACCCUUCGGUCCGGCAUAAUCCUGGGAAACUGGGGAUAAUUCCGGAUAGGUCACAGAUGCUGGAAUGCUCUGUGGCUCAAAGCUCCGGCGCCGAAGGAUGGGUCUGCGGCCUAUCAGGGUUGUAGUGGGUGUAACGUACCUACUAGCCUACGACGGGUACGGGUUGUGAGAGCAAGAGCCCGGAGAUGGAUUCUGAGACACGAAUCCAGGCCCUACGGGGUGCAGCAGGCGCGAAAACUUUACAAUGCGGGAAACCGUGAUAAGGGAAUCUCGAGUGCCAGCAUAUAAUGUUGGCUGUCCAGAUGCCUAAAAAGCAUUUGUUAGCAAGGGCCGGGCAAGACCGGUGCCAGCCGCCGCGGUAACACCGGCGGCCCGAGUGGUAACCGUUUUUAUUGGGUCUAAAGGGUCUGUAGCCGGCCAUGUAAGUCCCUUGGGAAAUCUGGCAGCUCAACUGUCAGGCUGCUAGGGGAUACUGCUUGGCUUGGGACCGGGAGAGGUGAGAGGUACCUUGAGGGUAGGGGUGAAAUCUUGUGAUCCUCGGGGGACCACCAGUGGCGAAGGCGUCUCACCAGAACGGGUCCGACGGUAAGGGACGAAAGCUAGGGGCACGAACCGGACUAGAUACCCGGGUAGUCCUAGCCGUAAACGAUGCUCGCUAGGUGUCAGUCACGGUGCGACCGUGAUUGGUGCCGUAGGGAAGCCGUGAAGCGAGCCACCUGGGAAGUACGGCCGCAAGGCUGAAACUUAAAGGAAUUGGCGGGGGAGCACUACAACGGGUGGAGCCUGCGGUUU
RNAcentral lists this ribosomal RNA (880 nucleotides) under uncultured Methanotrichaceae archaeon. RNAcentral's name for it is "bacterial SSU rRNA". It matches the Rfam family "Archaeal small subunit ribosomal RNA", at positions 21 to 903 of the family's 1478-position model. Lineage: Archaea; Methanobacteriati; Methanobacteriota; Methanomicrobia; Methanotrichales; Methanotrichaceae. The record is from RNAcentral.